UGCCUCCACUGUGGGAAGUUGUAGAAAAUGGUCUAGUGGUUUCUUCUGCCAUUUCCCUGCAGAUGAGAGAAUCAUUCGCUCUCCAUCAUGCUAGCCCUUGAGAUCUGGCCCUUGAGAGUGGCUGAUGUACCAUCCUGGAAUGCAUCAUCUCUCAUUCACCAACAGAUAUCAAGAGGCCCAAUUCAGUACAGAUGAUCACAGUUGCUGUGAGUUCCACACUGCACCACCCUUGUGAAGUCCAGAGUGCUGUUGUGAAACACAAGACCUCACACAUGCUAGGGAGGCGAUGUACCACUGAUCUCCACACUCAGCCCUAAAUAGUAAAAACCUAACAACUCCGAGCUUGGUAGAGACCCUGUUUCAAGAGCAAAAAGGAAGAAGGGAGAAGAAGAAGAUGGAGAGAAAAAUGUGAGGGUGGAGAUGUUCAGUUCUUUGUUUCCAUUCACUUUUGGAGGAAGGGAGCCCCGGAGAAGAUAUUCCCAUAGUGGAGAGACUGGAAGAUGAAGUGAAGGGUGCCAUUUGUUCACCAUCCAAGUAACUUGACUUCCAGAUCCACAGGCACUCACUCCAUGAGAUCAUUCUGUGAUGAUGCCCUGCACUACAAUUAAGAUUAGUGCUGCCCUCAACAUUAGCUGGAGAAACCUCUCUAUACAGUUGCCCAGUGGUCAAUUAAGAGAUUUCUAAUUCGUCAAAGAGCUGAGGGUGAGAACAGUGCUCAACUCUAAAUGGGACAGCUAUAUCUACCCUACCUGAAGCUCGGGAAACACUGAAAAGGCUAUCACAGGUAAAAUUUACCUUUUGUUUCCGAAGAGACUCUGCACUUCUAAACAGUGUUGGAACUGUUAAAAAGCACGGGGGCUUUUGACGUUGGAUUGAACACGUUUUACACUAUGAGAUGGCCAGGAGCCUGUGGUGACAAGAAGUAGAAGGUUAUGGGCUAAAAGCAGCAUUCUGAGGUGUCAAGUUGACAAAGGAUAGACUUAGGAAGUUUGACAGAAUCAAGAAUCCUCUAGGAGACAAACUCGGACAUGUCUGUCUCCCUUUGGAGGGAAGACUCAUCUUAAAUGUGCACACCACCAUCCCAAGGACCAGGGGCUCAUAUUACAUGGAAGAAGGACCCAUGCUGAGCUUCAGCCUUCAUUCCUUUAAGCUUCCCGGCCAUGAACACAAUGUGACUUAUGCUCUGGCUGACAUGACUUUUUGACCACGGUGCACCCUUGAGCUGUGACCCAAAAUAAACCCUUUCUCCCUUAAGUUGCUUUUGUCAGAAUUCUUCUGCAGCAACGGAAGUAACCGAGGUCAAAGGCAUAAGUAGUAUUAGCAUUUGCUUUACACUGUUUUGUUUAGAUUAAGGCUAUAUCUCAGUUAGCAGAACAUUUGUGCAAGAAUCACAAGAGAAGCCUAGAGUUUCCUCUCUAGUCUUGGAGGUGGGGAGCAACCAAAAGGGUGACACUUCACUCUUACUUCAUUUUUCCCAAGAAUGCCUUUUUUGUAUCUUUAAAGAAAAUUCUUUCUUUAUAAAGAUAUCUUUCUUGACACCUCCUAGAAGUCCACUGGUGUAUAUAAAGAAAAUAGCUUCAAAGCCCACAUUAUGCAUCAGAGUAUGGGUUAAAAGUGUUUUAAAGACUCACAUUUAUAGAUCCUUUUUAACCAAAGUAAAAAAUUCAACCAAAUGGUUCAUCUAAGAGUUUUAUCCUUGUUUUGUGAAUUUUGAAAAAGGAAUAAAAAUGUGUAUUUGCUGCAAUAUAGAUUCACUCUACAAAUUUUCACUCUAAAAAAAUUACAUGUUUUAUGAAUUUUCUUCUAUUUCUUUCUUUUCUUUUGAGAAAAGGUCUCACUAUGGAUUUCAGGCUCAUGUCAAACUUGCAGUCCUCCUGCCUCACAAUUGUGAAUGUUAGCAUUACAUUCAUACGCCACUAUGCCCAGCUUAUCAUGUGGUUUUAAAAUGUACUAUUGUAUUAACUCAUGGUACCUUUGGAGAAGACACUAAUGCUGCUGCUUUGUUUAGACACUCACAUCCUAUGACUGCUAGGUCCAGAGAAGUUGAAGUUAGAAAGCUAUGCUUCAAACAGUGUCUCUUCCCUUCCCAUGUUACCACUGCCCAUUUCCCCAUAACUACAGAUGCUGGUUUGAGUCCUUAGGCUGUAGGUUCCAACCUUGCUGUGUAGUGAAAAAUUUUGGUUUCCUUAAAAAUACAGAAAUGUUAUGUGAGUAUGUUUUUGUUUUAAUCCCAGGUGUGCAAUAUGAGGCUGCUUUAGGUUGUUCACGGUAGCAGACUAUGAUUGGUCUCAUGCUCUGGCAGGGUGUGAUUCUGCAAGCUAAAGGUGGAUUAUAUUUAAAAUUCUGGAGACUCUGAGAGUAUAUAUAAAAGUGCCAUAGCUCUGAGAGGGGGAGGCUCCUUCUACCUCUGUUGCUGCUGCUGGUGCCUGUUUCUAUAGUUUGUUAAGUGGUCACGAGAAGAGAGACAAGAAGAAAUUAGCUAUCCUGAUGAUGAAGACUGGACUUGCUCCAAGGAACCCAACAUCCUUAAUCAUCAGGAAGUAGUCUAAAGAGAUCUUUGCUCCCCUUUUCCUCUAACUGUCUUUCUCUCCUCCCUAGUGUUGGGGGUUGGAAGGGGUUGGGAUGGAGAAGGGUGGUAGAUAUAAGAACCCAAUAAAGCAGCCAACAUUGGAC
This is a long non-coding RNA of Mus musculus (house mouse), 2673 nucleotides long. RefSeq annotates it as predicted gene, 31813. The record is from RefSeq and is a predicted model, not a curated record. The transcript has 8 exons. Lineage: Eukaryota; Metazoa; Chordata; Mammalia; Rodentia; Muridae.